GGAAGGAUCAUUAACACGAAUAUCCAUUAUUCAAACCAACCGUGAACCAAUCCCCACCCGAGCAGAUAAAGGAAUGGGUUAAACCAUGAAAAUGACUCGGCUACCAAUUCUUUCUUCUUUCUUUAUUGAAAGUGGAUUGAAUCUUUGUAUUAACAAACCCCAAUCAUCUUAAUUGAAACUUAUUGCUUUGUAUUUCUUUCGAAAGAAUGAAAUCAAAUCAAUUAAUCAACACACUAAAAAAACCAUCAUAUAUCUUAAUUGAUUGUAUGUUGUUGUUUUUUUAUUUCUAUUACGAAAUGAACGUAUUAGUUUAUAAAACAACUCUUAACAAUGGAUAUCUUGGUUCUCGCAACGAUGAAGAACGCAGCGAAAUGCGAUAUGUAAUGCGAAUUGCAGAAUUCAGUGAAUCAUCAAAUCUUUGAACGCAAAUUGCGCUCUCGGGAUAUACCUGUGAGCACGCUCCUUUGAGUAUCGGUUCGAAUAUAACUCAACUGUUUCUUAGUAAAAUAAGAGACAACGUUGGAUAAUGAGUGUUGUUCUCGAGAUGAAUUGAUUUCAUAUCAAUUGAUCAAGAGUCACUUGAAAUAUGUAGAGUUAAGUGAUGUCUAUCACACAUACCGUUGAGAGCUACUAUGAAAACAGUUGCUUUGCACUAUGAAACAUUGAGUGACGUAGAUAAUCUCAUCUUUACGAUGUUUAUUUUGCGUCAUUAAGCUUGAUGUUGAAUUGUAUAAAGUCCAACUUUGUAGUUUUCCUUUGUGUUUGGGAAUGUGAAGCUUAACGUGUAUAGGAUUGUUAUGUAAAAAGUAAGAAUCCAUCUCAAUGAAAUAAUUGACUAAUUAUUUGAUUGAAUUAUAGAUCUCAAAUGGAGCGAGAAUACCCCCUGAAUUUAAGCAUAUUAAUAAGGGGAGGAAAAGAAACUAACAAGGAUUCCCUUAGUAACGGCGAGUGAAGCGGGAAGAGCUCAAAAUGAAAAUCGUGAACCCAAGCGGGUUCUUGAAUUGUUUUCUAGAGACGUGUUGUCAGCGGUGACCUAGAUUGAAGUCUCUUGAAACAGGGCAUCAUAGAGGGUGAGAAUCCCGUAUGAAAUCUGGAGUUCGCCGCGUACGACGCAUGAUCAUCGAGUCGAGUUGUUUGGGAUUGCAGCUCUAAUUGGGUGGUAAGUUUCAUCUAAAGCUAAAUAUUGGCGAGAGACCGAUAGCGAACAAGUACCGUGAGGGAAAGAUGAAAAGAACUUUGAAAAGAGAGUUAAAAAGUACUUGAAAUUGUUAAGAGGGAAGCGCUGAAAUUCAGUCAUUUGCUUUAGGUUAUUUUGCUAUUUGCUUACGAAGGAUAAGAUGAUGAUGUGUGUAAGCCAUCAUUGUUUUAUUGGACGAUAGGUGGGUAGUUUCUGUAAUUUGGAGUGAGUCAAAAUCUUUUCGAUACGUGUGAGAAAGUUAUGAGGAAGGUAGGUUAGGUAGCAAUAUCGAACUGUUAUAGCCUUGUAGCCCUAACGUGUAUUGGAUUGAGGAAAGUGAUAUAACGCGCCGCAGGCUUGGUAGCUCAUUUCUGCUGAUUAAUAGUGGUCAAGAUAACAAUGUUAUGUAGCUAUUAUUAGUUAGUACUAGGUGGGACUAUUUUAUGCGUUAUCGCGAUUUUGACGAAAUGGAUUUCAUCGACCCGUCUUGAAACACGGACCAAGGAGUCUAACAUAUAUGCGAGUAUUUGGGUGGAAAACUCAUGUGCGUAAUGAAAGUAAAGGCUGGCUUGCUAGCUGUGGUAGGAAUCGUCGCAAGGCGAGGCACUAUCGACCGAUCAUCACUUGUGAAAGAUUUGAGUAAGAGCAUAUCUGUUGGGACCCGAAAGAUGGUGAUCUAUGCCUGAACAGGGUGAAGCCAGGGGAAACUCUGGUGGAGGCUCGUAGCGAUACUGACGUGCAAAUCGUUCGUCUGAUUUGGGUAUAGGGGCGAAAGACUAAUCGAACCAUCUAGUAGCUGGUUCCCUC
RNAcentral lists this unclassified non-coding RNA (1984 nucleotides) under uncultured fungus. Its description in RNAcentral is "sequence contains 18S rRNA gene, ITS1, 5.8S rRNA gene, ITS2, 28S rRNA gene". The stretch from base 857 to 1984 matches the Rfam family "Eukaryotic large subunit ribosomal RNA", at positions 1 to 961 of the family's 3401-position model. The record is from RNAcentral. Lineage: Eukaryota; Fungi.